RNAcentral lists this ribosomal RNA (496 nucleotides) under uncultured bacterium. RNAcentral's name for it is "bacterial SSU rRNA". It matches the Rfam family "Bacterial small subunit ribosomal RNA", at positions 26 to 518 of the family's 1533-position model. The record is from RNAcentral.
CUAGGAUGAACGCUGGCGGCGUGCCUAAUACAUGCAAGUGAAACGGGUAUCUUCGGAUACCAGUCGCGGACGGGUGAGUAAUACAUAGGCAACCUGCCUUUAUGAGGGGGAUAACCGAGGGAAACUUUGGCUAAUACCGCAUGAAGACUCUAAGGCAUCUUAGAGGGAUAAAAGUUGGGAAACAACGCAUGAAGAUGGGCUUAUGGCGCAUUAGCUAGUUGGUGAGAUAGAAGCCCACCAAGGUAAUGAUGCGUAGCCGACCUGAGAGGGUGAACGGCCACAUUGGGACUGAGACACGGCCCAAACUCCUACGGGAGGCAGCAGUAGGGAAUUUUCGGCAAUGGGGGGAACCCUGACCGAGCAACGCCGCGUGAAGGAAAGAAGGUUUUCGGAUUGUAAACUUCUGUUAUAAGGGAAGAACGGAUUGGAUAGGGAAUGAUCUGAUAGUGACGGUACCUUAUUAGAAAGCCACGGCUAACUACGUGCCAGCAGCAGC